AGCGAGGAUGACGUCAAGUCAGCAUGGCCUUUAUAUCUUGGGCUACACACACGCUACAAUGGUCUGUACAAUAGGUUGCGAAGCCGCGAGGCGGAGCCAAUCCAGCAAACUUACCUCAGUUCAGAUUGCAGGCUGCAACUCGCCUGCAUGAAGUUGGAGUUGCUAGUAAACGCAGGUCAGCCAUACUGCGUUGAAUACGUUCCCGGGCUU
This 210-nucleotide ribosomal RNA is filed under the name uncultured Anaerolineaceae bacterium. Its description in RNAcentral is "partial 16S ribosomal RNA". It matches the Rfam family "Bacterial small subunit ribosomal RNA", at positions 1172 to 1381 of the family's 1533-position model. Lineage: Bacteria; Bacillati; Chloroflexota; Anaerolineae; Anaerolineales; Anaerolineaceae. The record is from RNAcentral.